Molecule: long non-coding RNA, 264 nt
Filed under: Gallus gallus (chicken)
Lineage: Eukaryota; Metazoa; Chordata; Aves; Galliformes; Phasianidae
Source: RNAcentral
AUUUGAGAUGGCCACCAAAGGGGACUGCUGGAUCAUAACUGUAAGAAAUCUUUUAGGAGUGCACUUAAGAGUAGUUUCUUCAUGCAACAGAAAGAUCCUCCUUAUACAACUUUUCUCUUGGACUGGCUGUUUUACUGGGAGCUGAAGACGAUGAAAUCACCACAGUCAUUCUCAGUAUCACUGAAGCAAAUGAGACAAGACUCAUCCAGCUAGCCAUGUGAAGAGCUCAGGCUGAUAUAUCAACAUUCCUCAAAGUAUUUACAG